Non-coding RNA from Peromyscus maniculatus bairdii (prairie deer mouse), 689 nucleotides. The record is from RefSeq and is a predicted model, not a curated record. Lineage: Eukaryota; Metazoa; Chordata; Mammalia; Rodentia; Cricetidae.
CCCUCUGUGGGCUCUCUGUCCCCUCUCCUUUCCGCCCCUUCCUCCCGUCGGCCCCCAUCUCUCCCUCACCCCUUUCUGUCUCUCUCUGUCUUUCUUUCUCUGUCUCUCCACCCUCCCUCCCCAGUAAAGCUCUAAAAAGGUAACCAUGGCUGUGAUUCUUUUAAUCAGCACAAUGCUCCUCCGGCAUGACUGCUGCAGGCGGCGACCAGCCACGAGAGGCAGCGCCGCGGCAUAACCAACAUGUAUUACAGAGGACAUAGGCCCUGGGAUCUCAUGGCGCAUUACGUACGACCCUCUACAUUCUAGGUGUAAGUUCCUGGAACCGCUGAUCCAAAUUCCAGGAACCUAAAAGUACAAAGUACAGGAUAUCAAGAUAACCAUCUGGGAGUGACUGUUUAACCGCGGAAUGUCCCCACCCGCAGGCGGCGGACAAACAACCACCCGCUUUGCAGUAAGAUGAAGACAAAGCUUCUGGAAGUCCCUAGAAGUGAGCAAAUCAGAAACGUACCCGUACCGAAGUAAUUCUUUGCUGUGGUAAUCCUAUGUUUUUUGCCUUUAAAAAACUAUGUUCAAUUCAGGCUGAGCACCUAUUCCAUCCUCGGUCAACACCUCGGGUCGGGUGUGCUUGCCGAGGUCCCUGACUAGGCUGGUAUUGCGCCCAAAUAAAGCCUUGCUUUUGCAUUCCGGAA